This 408-nucleotide ribosomal RNA is filed under the name uncultured Agrobacterium sp. RNAcentral's name for it is "bacterial SSU rRNA". It matches the Rfam family "Bacterial small subunit ribosomal RNA", at positions 492 to 901 of the family's 1533-position model. The record is from RNAcentral. Lineage: Bacteria; Pseudomonadati; Pseudomonadota; Alphaproteobacteria; Hyphomicrobiales; Rhizobiaceae.
CCCGGCUAGGUUCGGGCCAGCAACCGCGGGUAAUACGAAGGGCGCUAGCGUUGUGAAGAUUUACUGGGCCUAAAGCUAACGUAAGCGGAUCGAUGAAUCACGGGUGAAAUCCCAGGGCUCAACCCUGGAACUGCCUUUGAUACUGUAGAUCUGGGGCAUGGAAGAGGCGAGUGGAAUUCAGAGUGUAGAGGUGAAAUUCAUUUCUAUUUGGAGGAACGCCAGUGGCGAAGGCGGCUCACUGGUCCAUUACUGAAGCUGAGGCGCGAAAGCUUGAGUAGCAUACAGGAUUAGAUACCCUGGUAGUCCACGCCAUAAACUAUGAAUGUUAGCCGUCGGGAAAUUACUGUUCUGUGUCGCAGCUAUCUCAUUUCCUCUUCCGCCUGGGGAUACGGUCUCAAGAUUAAAACU